RNAcentral lists this long non-coding RNA (2149 nucleotides) under Canis lupus familiaris (dog). RNAcentral describes it as "lncRNA (ENSCAFG00000050822.1)". The record is from RNAcentral. Lineage: Eukaryota; Metazoa; Chordata; Mammalia; Carnivora; Canidae.
UUUUUUUCUAAAAUAACAGCUGCUUGGUGGUCACCUUGAGCCUCAAGAAGGGUUAUUAAGAUUAUAUGUUAUAUAAUUUCACUAUUAUUUUAUCACUCAGCUUCACAAGUGGUAUUUAAAGUUAAGAGCAAUUUUAAAUCUUCUUAUGUUAAUAAAAAAGAAGACACGUUUUGAAAAUCAGCCGUUAAUUUCCUUUGGUGUGAAAUUAUAAUAACCAUGCUAUUGCAAUAAUAUUGUUUUAUUACGUUAUUACUAGUAGUGAAAGUACAUACUUUUAGAGAAUUCAUCUUUUUUGUAUAGUCUUAAAAUUUUGCAAUAUCAUAUUUCAAUAAUAUAUUUGGAUCAUACAGAGAAACAUCCUCCAAAACUCACCAUGGGCAUUUAAAAUAUGAGGAUUUAAAACCAAAACUCCCAAGAUUGAGAGGAGUUUACCGUAUUUUGCUUCUGCUACUUUUUCUAAAAACAAAAUUAGGGAGACAGAAGAGUUUAUCUCCAAAUGUUUGGAUUAAGAAAUAUUAUGCUACACUGUCAUCAGGUGAUACAUUCUGGAAUCUGGUUUAAAAGGGCUAGUAUUUCUAUAUGCUACUUGUAUGUAUAGGCAGUGAUUUAAAAAAAAGUUAUUCUUAAGUGAGCUGCUGGUAAAUUCAAUACAGUUUAUGACAUGAAAUUUAUCAAGUAAUUUUCCUAUAGCAGACAAAUAUUCUUUAAGUACAAAAAUUCGAAAGGAGUUAGAAAGGUGAAUGGAGGGAAUAUAAGGGCACAUUAAAAAAUGGGAAUUUUAUUUUAAAAUAUUAUUUUAAAGUGUGAAAAAAAGUUUGCAUCUAGCUUAAAUGACCUAAUUUUAUUUUUAUAUUUAUAUCUACAAGUCAUUAUCAACUAAUAUAUAUUGCCUAAUACUGGGUCAGUAGCACUUUUUUCUAAAGCCCACCUACUUUGCCAAGAUUAUAUCCUUUAUUAAUUAUUUAAUUAUUUGACUAAAUUCAUUUAUAGAACCAAUGGAGAAAGAGAAAACAUUUAUGGUUCAUUUAUCUUUUUUUCUAAGGUUUUAUUUAUUUAUUUGAAAGAGAGAGAGAGAGAGAGCACGAGCAGGGAAUGGGCAGAGGGAGAGAGAGAAGUAGACUCCUCAACCCAGCGGGGCCAAUACUAGAACUCAGGGAUCAUGACCUGACCCAAAGCCAGAUGCUUUACUGACUGAGCCACCCAGAUGCCCCACUUAUGUUUCAUUUCUUAAGAAAUUAUAAUAAAGAAGAGGCAGACAUAUAAGUAAUUAUCAAAAGAGUGAUGAAUAUUAAUGAGAUAUGCAAUUAAUCAGGUAUGUUCUUAUUGUAUUUCCUCUUAAUCUAGUUGAAGUUAAGACUAACAUGAAGAAAUUACCUGAGACUAUGUAAGAGUGAAACCAUAUUUUAAUAAAAGAAAAAUAUGCUAAGAAGUUUCUUUCCUUUCCUUUUCCCUUUUCCCUUUUCUUCCUUCCUUUCUUCCUUUUCUUCUUUGGAAGGCCAUAAAUUUUGGAAUCUCUCAGACCACAGUUUGAAUCCUGGCUCUCAUAUUUACUUGCUAUACAAUCAUGUAAUUUGUUCAUAUACGAAAUAAUCAUAAUAUCACAGAAGGCUGUUUGUAAGACUAAAUAAGAUAACAUGUAAAUUCUAGAACUGUGAUCCAUAAAUAUCUGCCCCCUCUCCUGUGGCUAUAAAUACAAUUAUAUGUAAACAUAUAAAUACAAUUAUAUGUAAAUACAAUUAUAUGUAAACAAAGAGGAGAUGGAGAUGCAAAGAUAAUGAACUAUCAAAAAUAUCUUUAUAAAUAGAUAACAUUUGGAUUUUUUUGUAGCAGAAGUAGGCUUUUGAUUAAUAAAAAUGAACACAUGAUUACUACACCUCAUGGAGUAAAACAUUUAGAUGACCCUAGAACAGAAUGUAGAAUUAAGCAAGCUUCAAAUGUAGUGGGAGACAUGGGAUUCCAGGUUGAGAAAGGGUAAAAAAAAUAGUUAAAAGCUAGCAAAGGACUUUCUGCCAGCUACUGGGGCAGUAAGAGAUUGUUUUAGAUUCUUGAAAAAGGGAAUGAUAAAGAGGAAAUUAUAGGGUAAGAUGUAUGUGAAGCAGGACCUACUAGGAGACUGCAAUGGUGGUCUGUGACUAAAGUAAAGCAGACC